AGAGUUUGAUCCUGGCUCAGGAUGAACGCUGGCGGCGUGCCUAAUACAUGCAAGUCGAACGAAUCUUCUUCGGAAGAUGAGUGGCGAACGGGUGAGUAAUACAUAGGUAACCUGCCCCUGUGCGGGGGAUAACAGGAGGAAACUCCUGCUAAUACCGCAUAGCCAUGAGCACCGCAUGGAGCUCAUGCCAAAUAUCCUUUCGGGGAUAGCGCAGGGAUGGACCUAUGGCGCAUUAGCUAGUUGGCGGGGCAACGGCCCACCAAGGCAACGAUGCGUAGCCGGCCUGAGAGGGCGGACGGCCACAUUGAGACUGAGACACGGCCCAGACUCCUACGGGAGGCAGCAGUAGGGAAUUUUCGGCAAUGGGGGAAACCCUGACCGAGCAACGCCGCGUGAGCGAAGAAGGCCUUCGGGUCGUAAAGCUCUGUUGUAAAGGAAGAACGGCGCAUACAGGAAAUGGUAUGCGAGUGACGGUACUUUACCAGAAAGCCACGGCUAACUACGUGCCAGCAGCCGCGGUAAUACGUAGGUGGGGAGCGUUAUCCGGAAUCAUUGGGCGUAAAGAGGGAGCAGGCGGCCGCAAGGGUCUGUGGUGAAAGACCGAAGCUAAACUUCGGUAAGCCAUGGAAACCGGGCGGCUAGAGUGCGGAAGAGGAUCGUGGAAUUCCAUGUGUAGCGGUGAAAUGCGUAGAUAUAUGGAGGAACACCAGUGGCGAAGGCGACGGUCUGGGCCGCAACUGACGCUCAUUCCCGAAAGCGUGGGGAGCAAAUAGGAUUAGAUACCCUAGUAGUCCACGCCGUAAACGAUGG
This 810-nucleotide ribosomal RNA is filed under the name uncultured bacterium. RNAcentral describes it as "bacterial SSU rRNA". It matches the Rfam family "Bacterial small subunit ribosomal RNA", at positions 8 to 812 of the family's 1533-position model. The record is from RNAcentral.